GGAAGGAUCAUUAUUGAAUGAACUUGGUGUGGUUGUUGCUGGCCCUCUAGGGGGCAUGUGCACACCCGCCAUCCUCAUCUCUCCACCUGUGCACCUCUUGUAGAUCUGGAUAGACUUUCCGAGGCAACUCGGUCGGGAAGAUUGCUGCACUCUGUGAGCCAGCUUUCUUUGCAUGUCCAGGUCUAUGUUUUUCAUAUACCCCUAUAGAAUGUAACAGAAUGUAUCAUCGGGCUUUGUGCCUAUAAACCUAAUACAACUUUCAGCAACGGAUCUCUUGGCUCUCGCAUCGAUGAAGAACGCAGCGAAAUGCGAUAAGUAAUGUGAAUUGCAGAAUUCAGUGAAUCAUCGAAUCUUUGAACGCACCUUGCGCUCCUUGGUAUUCCGAGGAGCAUGCCUGUUUGAGUGUCAUUAAAUUCUCAACCUUAUUAGCUUUUGUUAAUAAUGGAUUGGAUGUGGGGGUUUCUUUUGCUGGUUUCAUCACAGAGAUCAGCUCCCCUUAAAUGCAUUAGCUGGUGCCCCGCGUGGACCAUCUAUUGGUGUGAUAAUUAUCUACGCCGUGGAUGUCUGCAAUUAUAUGGGUUUUGCACUGCUUCUAACCGUCUGUUCAUUCGGACAAUAUUGACAAUUUGACCUCAAAUCAGGUAGGACUACCCGCUGAACUUAAGCAUAUCAAUAAGCGGAGGAAAAGAAACUAACAAGGAUUCCCCUAGUAACUGCGAGUGAAGCGGGAAAAGCUCAAAUUUAAAAUCUGGCGGUCUCCGGCCGUCCGAGUUGUAAUCUAGAGAAGUGUUAUCCGCGCUGGACCGUGUACAAGUCUCCUGGAAUGGAGCGUCAUAGAGGGUGAGAAUCCCGUCUUUGACACGGACUGCCAGGGCUUUGUGAUGCGCUCUCAAAGAGUCGAGUUGUUUGGGAAUGCAGCUCAAAAUGGGUGGUAAAUUCCAUCUAAAGCUAAAUAUUGGCGAGAGACCGAUAGCGAACA
This 979-nucleotide ribosomal RNA is filed under the name uncultured fungus. RNAcentral's name for it is "eukaryotic LSU rRNA". The stretch from base 628 to 979 matches the Rfam family "Eukaryotic large subunit ribosomal RNA", at positions 1 to 346 of the family's 3401-position model. The record is from RNAcentral. Lineage: Eukaryota; Fungi.